This 1330-nucleotide long non-coding RNA is filed under the name Cottoperca gobio. RNAcentral describes it as "lncRNA (ENSCGOG00000024659.1)". The record is from RNAcentral. Lineage: Eukaryota; Metazoa; Chordata; Actinopteri; Perciformes; Bovichtidae.
CAACACUCUUAUCUGCGAUGCCACAGUUUGCCCAGUUGUGGAUGCUUCACUGGAUGCAAGGAGGACUAAACGCAACAUGUUCAUCAGUCAGACAUGCAUCUUAGUGCAGAUAAUUUUCUGUACAAACUGACAGCGGUUUAUAUUUUUCAGGGGGCCGAAAAGUUUUCUUCUAUGUCUAAUUAAGGUCUGAGAGCCCCGAGGAGCAGCCGAACACUGGGGUCUUGGGUCGUCUCGGGAGCUGGCUCUCUCCAUGGAGGGGAAAGGGUCCCAGUGAAAAUGUCUCCUCAACUACCGAUAAGGCUCUUAAAUCAGAGGGAGAAGAGGAGAAUCAGAAGCCUCUGAGACUCCGGGCAAAGAAUCAAGAGUGGGAGGAGGAGAAGGAACAGAGCUCCAAUCCCAAUCCACGCCGUCUCUCCAGAGACAUUUUCCCCUGUGAAGAACGGGACGCCACGCAGUCUGCCCACAGAGACGGCUCUAUUGUGAGCAGCACUGAGACAGCAGAAGGAGGUCCAGAAGAGGAGGAGUUUGUGGAUUGCAGGGAGAAGAGCAUAGAGCAGAGCAAGGAGAGGGAAGAGAGCAGCAACGGUUCUUCAGCGAGCGGGAAUCCUAAGAAGAAUGCCAGUCAUCUGACACAUCUCUCUUCUGAGCAGGGAGUGGUAUGGGACUCUGACCGGGCCCACGCACAGCCUCAAGCACAGCGACACGCACAGGCCCAGGCAGGCAGGAGGCUCCAGGUGUACCUGGAGGAGACCAGCGUGACUCACAGGGGUAACGACACCUGUGAUCGACAGGAAAUUGUCGAAGUGACAAAAAAGAACCUAAAUGUCCUCCCCAAAGCAAAGUCAUCACCAAGUUUUGAUUUGAGCUCAAGUUCAACACGUGCAGAGAACAAAAGAACAAAUGUGAAGUCUGCUGUUGGGGCACAGAGUUAUUACAGUGCAAUAGUGGGAGUGUCACUGAAAGCACACAUAGACUCACAGUCAGAGCCUGAAUCUGAAGAACAAACAGACAACAUGGGGCGUAAAAACCCAGCCAGGAGGAAAUUUAGGAAAAACUCUCAGGGAGAUGAAGGGAACAGCCCGCAAGAACAAAAGCCUCCCACUGACCUACCUGUCCCAGAGGGAAUCCCUACAUCAAAUAACUCAUUGACCAGUGCUCAGGGAGAAAGUCCAAAGACUCACAUGGGAGAGUCAUCUGCAAACUCCUCCUCCAUGCACAACCCCACCUAUCAGGCUUCACCUGGAGGAGCAGAGAUUAAGACUUCCUGCCCUGAUACUGUCAAGCCGUUGGACAACUUCCAGGAUUCAAAUUCAGUCAUUGCAGCCAGUCU